UCCGCGGCGUCACCGGCCCGCGUCAGACGUGUGGAGUGUCGCUCGUCCGCCGCGGCCACGAUUAACUGGAGAUUUUUUUCCCUCGUCCCUUGCUCAGUGUGUGUUCCUUCCUCGGUGCUGACUGCGUGCUGAGUCCCGCCGCGCCCCCUCAGCACUGGGUUGGGUGUGUUGGAUUGGCUAGUUUGCCUGCUAGGGAGAAAGAGGAAAAGAAAGAAAAGAGAAAGAAGGAAAGAGGUAAAACUCAUGAAAUAUAAUUGGAGGAAACUAGAAAGGAGAAAGUGAAAGAAAAAACAAACUUGACCAGAAAGAAAAAAAGUGAACAUCAAAAAGAAAAAAAAACAC
Long non-coding RNA from Eriocheir sinensis (Chinese mitten crab), 342 nucleotides. RefSeq lists it as uncharacterized. The record is from RefSeq and is a predicted model, not a curated record. The transcript has 2 exons. NCBI's taxonomy places the organism in Eukaryota, Metazoa, Arthropoda, Malacostraca, Decapoda, Varunidae.